CCCUUAGAUGUUCUGGGCUGCACGCGCGCUACACUGACGCACGCAACAGGUGCCUGCUCCGAGAGGACUGGGUAAUCAUUUGAGUGUGCGUCGUGAUGGGGAUAGAAUAUUGUACUUAUUACUCUUCAACGAGGAAUUCCUAGUAAGCGCCAGUCAGCAGCUUGCGCUGAUUACGUCCCUGCCCUUUGUACACACCGCCCGUCGCUCCUACCGAUGGGUGAUCCGGUGAAUGAUUCGGACUUCAGCGGCUCCCCUGGGGUGCGCCGGAGAAAGUUUUGUGAACCUUAUCACUUGGAGGAAGGAGAAGUCGUAACA
Molecule: ribosomal RNA, 315 nt
Filed under: uncultured eukaryote
Lineage: Eukaryota
Description: partial 18S ribosomal RNA
Rfam family: Eukaryotic small subunit ribosomal RNA
Source: RNAcentral